UACGUAGGGUGCAAGCGUUAAUCGGAUUUACUGGGCGUAAAGAGCGCGCAGGCGGUCGUUCAAGUCGAGUGUGAAAGCCCCCGGCUCAACUGGGGAGGGUCACUUGAUACUGAUCGACUCGAAGGCAGGAGAGGGAAGCGGAAUUCCCGGUGUAGUGGUGAAAUGCGUAGAUAUCGGGAGGAACACCAGUGGCGAAGGCGGCUUCCUGGCCUGUUCUUGACGCUGAGGCGCGAAAGCUAGGGGAGCAAACGGG
Molecule: ribosomal RNA, 253 nt
Filed under: uncultured bacterium
Lineage: Bacteria
Description: partial 16S ribosomal RNA
Rfam family: Bacterial small subunit ribosomal RNA
Source: RNAcentral